AUUCUCUUUAAAUCUGGUCCUGUGAGGCCAGAAAGGGUUAAUGAUGGAAACCGUUAACAGUAUACGAACGCUUAACUAUACGCACGUACAAACCUUCUCUUUGAAUUUUUUGAGAGAAGGUUUUUUUG
Molecule: non-coding RNA, 128 nt
Organism: Nitrospirae bacterium RBG_19FT_COMBO_55_12
Lineage: Bacteria; Pseudomonadati; Nitrospirota
Source: Rfam